AUAUGAAUCAUACCAUCUUCUUCUGCUGCUGUGUUGGUGAUAAUCAUGAUCCUCUCCUGUUCAGUUGCUCUUGAUGAGCAGCAGGCCGAUGCCGGUGACGAUGAGCGUCGCCGGGAAGCCGAACUGGAGGUGGCUGAAGAAGGAGAGGGUGUAGCCGAACUGCUGGGACCGGCGCGCCUGCUCGCACACGAUCAGGUUCGCCGCCGACCCCAGAAGCGACAGGUUGCCGGCCACCGUGCUCACCCACGCCAGGAUCAGCCACGCGUUGGUCUCCGCCGCGGGGGAGAUCGCCGCCGCCGAGGCCGCCACCCGUGCGCCGAGCAGCAGGACUGCAACAAAGCACAGACCCAAUGCAUAGUCUGUCAGUAGUUUGUUUGUGGUGCAGGGGAUUUGGCAUGUUCAGCUGCUUCUCUUGUUCUUUAGUGGAAUGAAUGAAUGAUUGGCCGGUCUGAUAGAAGUUGGGACCUGACAGCCUGCCUAGCAUCUAACACAUUGAUUCAGAAAUAAUUGCACAUCUGAUCCAAAAAUGAAUCGUGCCAUUUGUUUGGUGUCCCUGAUUACUGCAGCCUGAUUAAUUACAGUUUGGAGGCAACUAGUAUGAAAUUCGCACAAAAUUAGAUGAAGUUCACUCUGAAAAUGGCUUCGAAAUGGCAGGGGGGAGGAACUAACCGGUCGGGACAUUGGACGCGACAUUGGAGAGGAGAAGGAUGACCAGGGCGAGGAUGACGAUCCCGGUCGGCGUGUCGAUCCGCGCAUACGGCUCCAUGAACUCCCAGAACGUGCUGGGAAUGCCGGUCUUGUUGAAGCCGUCCACGGUGAUGAACAUCCCACAGAAGAAGAGCAGCAGCGGGUAGG
RNAcentral lists this long non-coding RNA (855 nucleotides) under Hordeum vulgare. Its description in RNAcentral is "long non-coding RNA (HVUL_LNC017130)". Lineage: Eukaryota; Viridiplantae; Streptophyta; Magnoliopsida; Poales; Poaceae. The record is from RNAcentral.